GAUAUGAACCGUUAUAACCGGCGAUACCCGAAUGGGGAAACCCAGUGUGACUCGUCACACUAUCAUUAACUGAAUCCAUAGGUUAAUGAGGCGAACCGGGGGAACUGAAACAUCUAAGUACCCCGAGGAAAAGAAAUCAACCGAGAUUCCCCCAGUAGCGGCGAGCGAACGGGGAGGAGCCCAGAGCCUGAAUCAGCAUGUGUGUUAGUGGAAGCGUCUGGAAAGGCGCGCGAUACAGGGUGACAGCCCCGUACACAAAAGCGCAUGUGCUGUGAGCUCGAUGAGUAGGGCGGGACACGUGGUAUCCUGUCUGAAUAUGGGGGGACCAUCCUCCAAGGCUAAAUACUCCUGACUGACCGAUAGUGAACCAGUACCGUGAGGGAAAGGCGAAAAGAACCCCGGCGAGGGGAGUGAAAAAGAACCUGAAACCGUGUACGUACAAGCAGUGGGAGCACAGGUUUACCUGUGUGACUGCGUACCUUUUGUAUAAUGGGUCAGCGACUUAUAUUCUGUAGCAAGGUUAACCGAAUAGGGGAGCCGGAGGGAAACCGAGUCUUAAUUGGGCGUUAAGUUGCAGGGUAUAGACCCGAAACCCGGUGAUCUAGCCAUGGGCAGGUUGAAGGUUGGGUAACACUAACUGGAGGACCGAACCGACUAAUGUUGAAAAAUUAGCGGAUGACCUGUGGCUGGGGGUGAAAGGCCAAUCAAACCGGGAGAUAGCUGGUUCUCCCCGAAAGCUAUUUAGGUAGCGCCUCGUGAAUUCAUCUCCGGGGGUAGAGCACUGUUUCGGCUAGGGGGCCAUCCCGGCUUACCAACCCGAUGCAAACUGCGAAUACCGGAGAAUGUUAUCACGGGAGACACACGGCGGGUGCUAACGUCCGUCGUGAAGAGGGAAACAACCCAGACCGCCAGCUAAGGUCCCAAAGUCAUGGUUAAGUGGGAAACGAUGUGGGAAGGCCCAGACAGCCAGGAUGUUGGCUUAGAAGCAGCCAUCAUUUAAAGAAAGCGUAAUAGCUCACUGGUCGAGUCGGCCUGCGCGGAAGAUGUAACGGGGCUAAACCAUGCACCGAAGCUGCGGCAGCGACACUGUGUGUUGUUGGGUAGGGGAGCGUUCUGUAAGCCUGCGAAGGUGGCCUGUGAGGGUUGCUGGAGGUAUCAGAAGUGCGAAUGCUGACAUAAGUAACGAUAAAGCGGGUGAAAAGCCCGCUCGCCGGAAGACCAAGGGUUCCUGUCCAACGUUAAUCGGGGCAGGGUGAGUCGACCCCUAAGGCGAGGCCGAAAGGCGUAGUCGAUGGGAAACGGGUUAAUAUUCCCGUACUUGGUGUUACUGCGAAGGGGGGACGGAGAAGGCUAUGUUGGCCGGGCGACGGUUGUCCCGGUUUAAGCGUGUAGGUGUGUGUUCCAGGUAAAUCCGGUUCACUUUAACACUGAGGCGUGACGACGAGGCACUACGGUGCUGAAGCAACAAAUGCCCUGCUUCCAGGAAAAGCCUCUAAGCAUCAGGUAACAUCAAAUCGUACCCCAAACCGACACAGGUGGUCAGGUAGAGAAUACCAAGGCGCUUGAGAGAACUCGGGUGAAGGAACUAGGCAAAAUGGUGCCGUAACUUCGGGAGAAGGCACGCUGACACGUAGGUGAAGUGAUUUACUCAUGGAGCUGAAGUCAGUCGAAGAUACCAGCUGGCUGCAACUGUUUAUUAAAAACACAGCACUGUGCAAACACGAAAGUGGACGUAUACGGUGUGACGCCUGCCCGGUGCCGGAAGGUUAAUUGAUGGGGUCAGCGCAAGCGAAGCUCCUGAUCGAAGCCCCGGUAAACGGCGGCCGUAACUAUAACGGUCCUAAGGUAGCGAAAUUCCUUGUCGGGUAAGUUCCGACCUGCACGAAUGGCGUAAUGAUGGCCAGGCUGUCUCCACCCGAGACUCAGUGAAAUUGAACUCGCUGUGAAGAUGCAGUGUACCCGCGGCAAGACGGAAAGACCCCGUGAACCUUUACUAUAGCUUGACACUGAACAUUGAGCCUUGAUGUGUAGGAUAGGUGGGAGGCUUUGAAGUGUGGACGCCAGUCUGCAUGGAGCCGACCUUGAAAUACCACCCUUUAAUGUUUGAUGUUCUAACGUGGACCCGUUACCCGGGUUGCGGACAGUGUCUGGUGGGUAGUUUGACUGGGGCGGUCUCCUCCUAAAGAGUAACGGAGGAGCACGAAGGUUGGCUAAUCCUGGUCGGACAUCAGGAGGUUAGUGCAAUGGCAUAAGCCAGCUUGACUGCGAGCGUGACGGCGCGAGCAGGUGCGAAAGCAGGUCAUAGUGAUCCGGUGGUUCUGAAUGGAAGGGCCAUCGCUCAACGGAUAAAAGGUACUCCGGGGAUAACAGGCUGAUACCGCCCAAGAGUUCAUAUCGACGGCGGUGUUUGGCACCUCGAUGUCGGCUCAUCACAUCCUGGGGCUGAAGUAGGUCCCAAGGGUAUGGCUGUUCGCCAUUUAAAGUGGUACGCGAGCUGGGUUUAGAACGUCGUGAGACAGUUCGGUCCCUAUCUGCCGUGGGCGCUGGAGAACUGAGGGGGGCUGCUCCUAGUACGAGAGGACCGGAGUGGACGCAUCACUGGUGUUCGGGUUGUCAUGCCAAUGGCACUGCCCGGUAGCUAAAUGCGGAAGAGAUAAGUGCUGAAAGCAUCUAAGCACGAAACUUGCCCCGAG
Molecule: ribosomal RNA, 2693 nt
Filed under: Salmonella enterica subsp. enterica serovar Enteritidis
Lineage: Bacteria; Pseudomonadati; Pseudomonadota; Gammaproteobacteria; Enterobacterales; Enterobacteriaceae
Description: partial 23S ribosomal RNA
Rfam family: Bacterial large subunit ribosomal RNA
Source: RNAcentral